UACUGCAUGGAGUCUUACUAUUCUU
RNAcentral lists this non-coding RNA (25 nucleotides) under Mus musculus (house mouse). Lineage: Eukaryota; Metazoa; Chordata; Mammalia; Rodentia; Muridae. The record is from RNAcentral.